ACCUGGGUGGCUCAGUCGGUUGAGCACCUGACUUCGGCUCAGGUCAUGAUCUCAUGGUUCAUGGGUUCAAGCCCCGUGUCUGGCU
RNAcentral lists this transfer RNA (85 nucleotides) under Felis catus (domestic cat). It matches the Rfam family "tRNA". From Rfam's summary of the family: Transfer RNA (tRNA) molecules are approximately 80 nucleotides in length. Their secondary structure includes four short double-helical elements and three loops (D, anti-codon, and T loops). Lineage: Eukaryota; Metazoa; Chordata; Mammalia; Carnivora; Felidae. The record is from Rfam by way of RNAcentral. RNAcentral also lists the same sequence under 2 other names.